UCUCCGUAGGUGAACCUGCGGAGGGAUCAUUACCGAGUGCGCGCCCCCCGGGGCCGACCUCCAACCCAUUGUUAUCCGACCACGUUGCCUCGGGGGCGACCCGGCCGUUUGGCCCCGGGGCCCCCGGUGGAAACCCAUCAAAACUCUGCAUCUCUGGCGUCUGAGUAGAAAUUGAAUCAAUCAAAACUUUCAACAACGGAUCUCUUGGUUCUGGCAUCGAUGAAGAACGCAGC
This 233-nucleotide unclassified non-coding RNA is filed under the name uncultured fungus. RNAcentral describes it as "sequence contains ITS1, 5.8S rRNA gene". The stretch from base 185 to 233 matches the Rfam family "5.8S ribosomal RNA", at positions 1 to 49 of the family's 154-position model. Lineage: Eukaryota; Fungi. The record is from RNAcentral.